GGUCCCAUGGUCUAGUGGUUAGGACAUUGGACUUUGAAUCCAAUAACCCAAGUUCAAAUCUUGGUGGAACCU
Cucurbita moschata (crookneck pumpkin) is the source of this 72-nucleotide non-coding RNA. The record is from the annotation of a RefSeq genome assembly. Lineage: Eukaryota; Viridiplantae; Streptophyta; Magnoliopsida; Cucurbitales; Cucurbitaceae.